GACGAACGCUGGCGGCGUGCUUAACACAUGCAAGUCGAACGGAAAGGCCCUGCUUUUGUGGGGCGCUCGAGUGGCGAACGGGUGAGUAACACGUGAGUAACCUGCCCUUGACUUUGGGAUAACUUCAGGAAACUGGGGCUAAUACCGGAUAGGAGCUCCUGCUGCAUGGUGGGGGUUGGAAAGUUUCGGCGGUUGGGGAUGGACUCGCGGCUUAUCAGCUUGUUGGUGGGUAGUGGCUUACCAAGGCUUUGACGGGUAGCCGGCCUGAGAGGGUGACCGGCCACAUUGGGACUGAGAUACGGCCCAGACUCCUACGGGAGGCAGCAGUGGGGAAUAUUGCACAAUGGGCGGAAGCCUGAUGCAGCAACGCCGCGUGCGGGAUGACGGCCUUCGGGUUGUAAACCGCUUUCGCCUGUGACGAAGCGUGAGUGACGGUAAUGGGUAAAGAAGCACCGGCUAACUACGUG
RNAcentral lists this ribosomal RNA (467 nucleotides) under uncultured bacterium. RNAcentral describes it as "partial 16S ribosomal RNA". It matches the Rfam family "Bacterial small subunit ribosomal RNA", at positions 28 to 507 of the family's 1533-position model. The record is from RNAcentral.